RNAcentral lists this unclassified non-coding RNA (3576 nucleotides) under Daphnia pulicaria. RNAcentral's name for it is "krueppel-like factor 16, transcript variant X1". The record is from RNAcentral. Lineage: Eukaryota; Metazoa; Arthropoda; Branchiopoda; Diplostraca; Daphniidae.
UCUGUAAAAAAGCAAAGAAAGAAUUUAAAUCGAAACGAUGAGUAAAUCAUUCAAUUGACGUCUUUUGUUUCCCCCGAUUCCCUAAAGAUCGCCAAUUCCUUUUGGGUUUGUUUUUCACUAACGGUAAUGAUUGAUUUCUCUUAAUUGGCAUGGGACAGUUCCAAAAAUGUCUCUCGUCGCUUGACAAACCUUUGCGACAGGGAAUUUCGGAAAUGGGCAAAUUGGGUUGUUUGUUUUGCACUCGAAAUACCUACGGGAUUAGCAGCUCUCGCACUAAUGAGGUUCCCAGACUCCCGCAGUGACGAAAAUUCCCUUUUUGAUUAUUUUGCAUUCGAGUGGGGGGGAAAAGCAGAAGUGUGGGCAGCAGAGCCAUCUAGGGUCCGUCUUUUGUUUCAACUGAAAUGAGGAGCUCCACUCGACAGGUGACAGCACAAUGCAACAACAAAAGCUCAAACUUGUUGCUACACACAACCGGUGUCGUUGUCUACUUUCGUUUACAUUAAGCAAAAAGAACCAGACAGGGGCGAGUGUGUUGAAAGGCCAGAGUAAGGAUGUCGUUGAUUUGACGACGGAUUCGAAUCGCAGAGUCAUCAACCCCCUUCAAUUUCAACGGUUCAAUCCAUUUGGACAUGUUGGGAAAGUGGGCGGAUCCCAAGAAGUUUUCGACGACAACAACAACAACAAAAAGAAUCAACAACUCCUCAGACUGUGUGUGUACCCAAUGAUGACCGGAUUAUAUUUUCAAAAGAGAGAAAAAAACUUCUUCUUCUCUCGUUGGGUAGUUGUUGGGAAGAAAACCAACUCCCCCCCUUCAUUCCCCCCCUCCGCCCCUUAGCGAGAAACAUUUUUCUUCUUAUUCGUUUGAGGGUUCCGGCCCAGUGGUCAAGUGAGAGGAGCUCCUCUCUCGUCGUUUCUCGGAUGUUUCGAUGCCCCAGUCGACCACGAGUGCCCAACUAGUUCUAGUCGGCCUUUCCAUCACGUUCCACGAAUAACGUGGAUCCACCAUCCGCACAGAUGUUAUUUGUGUUGUUGUUGUUAUUUCGAUCGUUCGAGUGCCGUCAUUCCUGAAAUUUGUUCCUCGAUAUCACGACGCCCCCAGCUGUUUAUCCAAAGUGUUAACAAUUCAAUAACGUUUCCUUCAACCCCACUCGACUGAUAUAUAAUCUCCCGACCGUCCGGCUGAAAAGGAGCUGCCGAAAAGUGUCAAUAAUCACCUGGAGAUUAUUCUGUGUGUGCGUGUCUGGUUCAAUCCGAGUGUGUGAGAGUCCUAUUGAUCUAUCGCAGGAGCGGAUAGUAUAGUCUGAUUUGUUACAAGUGUGAUGGAUGAGGAUGAAGCCAGCCAAGCGGCCUAUUGUUUGCUGGCCAUGUCAAGAGGCACCACCGCCAGUUCCAGUUCCAGCGAUCGACUCGGAUGCAAAGGUGAUUCAGCCUUGAGCGCAGCUUUAGGCCAUCAGACAGUGAUGGAGCAGCCAGCAACCAGCAGCAGCAACAGCAGCCCUUAUUCCACCGUGGCGGCUAUUGCUAUUCCAGCUGCUGCCGGUACUACUGCUGCUGCUGCUGCUCAAACAAGUUCAAACAGGAAUGCUGGUGUUGUUGUUGCUGCUGCUGCCGCCGCUGCCAUACAACCAGAGUCGCCGUUCAUGAUCGCCCGCAUUCUGACGGAUCUCACCCGCGUGCGUCAGGAUCUUUUCAGCGUUGAGCCCUUACAACAACCUCAAAUGCCUCCGUCCGCUUCCUGCAAGCCAUCCGGCCAGCGAAAUCAGAAUGCAGUACAGGGAGGCAGCGGCAGUAGUAAAUUGCACCAUUGUUCGUAUCCGGCAUGUGAACGAACCUACGGGAAGAGUUCCCAUCUCAAAGCUCACAUGAGAACUCACACCGGUGAACGCCCAUUCGGAUGCACCUGGCCGAGUUGCGAUAAGAGAUUCGCCCGGUCGGACGAGUUGGCACGUCACAUCAGAACACAUACGGGUGAAAAGCGGUUCACCUGCUCCGUGUGCCAAAAGAAAUUUACACGAUCAGAUCAUCUCAGCAAACAUGUGCGGAGACAUUCAAAGAUGGACGAAGGAUCGCCGAAGAGCCGGCGCAUCAAACCAGCGGAUAACAAGAUGAUCAUCAGCGUAAGCCCAACGGCGUCGCUCGAUUCCAGCGAUGGAUGCAGCACAAAUCAAUCGUUCGUUUCUUACAGUUCCGAGAAGGAUGCGACUAGGUAGAAAUGACGUGUGCCAAAGCAUCAAAUACUUUUAAAUCAGAAUUCGAUCAAAUUUCGAUUCUAAAUGUAUUCAGGAUUUUUAAUUGUUAUUUCGCCUCAUUUCGGUACAAGGUUUUUCAAAACAUUAACUAACUAAGAUUUCGUGUUUACCUCGAUUGUUUUUCCCAUUUGUUUCUCUCGUUUUCUUAUAUAAUUGGUCGUAUUUUUUAAAAUGGUGAAAUUGUAAUAUUAGUUUAAGCAGUUGGAGUCUAACGAAAGCACACUGCGUUGCUUCUGGUGAGAAUACAUUCGAUUUUUCUUAAAAGUUUCCUUUUGAAAAAGAAAAUAACGCCUCAUGUUAUCGAACGUUUUUCUUCGAAUUCACUAAUUAUUUCUUCGAAAAACGAUAAAGAAAUGAACAAACUAUGGAUGCCUUUUUAUCAGCAAAGGUCGUCGGGUACUGUUCUUUGUUAUUCGUUAACCAGUUUACUCAACAGUGACCAUUCAGAUCGCCGGUAAUUCAAAUAAAGAAUACCACCCUUUUUUGUAAUAACUUUUUUUCUUACUUUCAUACAGAAUGACUGAUAAAGAAUGACACACGAUCUGGGAACUGUUUUAUUGAAAUCUUUGACGGGAGAAACCACACCAGAUGUUCUUUGUCGGACGACUACAUGUCACAGCGUCAAUAACUUUGAAUACUGUACGUGUGAAACCAUUUUUUCAGUCACUCGUAGGUUUUCCCAAUAGCGACGAAGCAACGUCCGAUAAGAUGGCGUUGUCCCCUGCUGAGUGAAUCGGGAAUCGAUGGGUCCUUGUUUGUUUUUUUGUCACACCCUUUUUAUUGAUAUGCAAAUCGAUCGGACGUUGUAGAGAAGAUGACGGCGGAUGUCAACGCCACAUACGGUGAAAGGUUGUUUGGAUUUGUGCCUUACCCUGGUUCACGCUCGUCAUUUAUUGCGCUGUACACGGGGACGUAAUGAGACUGUUGCCGAUCUUCAGGCGGGGUUAAUCGUACAAACUGACCGACACAACUUCGGAGCGUGAAAUCUGCUAGUCAGAGUCACCAGGGUGUUAUGACCUACGAUCUUUAUGAUUAACGUCCUUUAUAGCAUAGUAGACCGGGAGGUGAAUGGAGACGUAGAUUCAAUGGACCUUAUAUGGUGAUUGAGCAACAUACAAUUGAACAUGGGUCUUUUGGGUGAUGGCCCCGUUUAGCGAUGAGUGCGCAUCUCGAUGGGAAUUGAAUCGAUCCCGUACAUUGUCAAUUAAUGAACUAUCCGGUUUAACAGUUGAGGAGCUGCGCUUUACUCCUAGUGUAUUUCCGGGAGGAUUGCCAUUUGUUUCAAGUCUUUAUCAAAGCGUUAAAUAAAUUCACGUUUGGUUUUUAA